Long non-coding RNA from Acinonyx jubatus (cheetah), 3153 nucleotides. RefSeq lists it as uncharacterized. The record is from RefSeq and is a predicted model, not a curated record. NCBI's taxonomy places the organism in Eukaryota, Metazoa, Chordata, Mammalia, Carnivora, Felidae. The transcript is spliced from 2 exons.
UUUGCAAACAUCUUAUUCACAGGCACUUAUUGCUUAGGUUCCCUCAAGACAUACCGGUCAUUGAAAAAGAGACUGGCCUUAGUUUAAAAUUUCUUUAAAGCCACUCUGAAUGGCAACUGACUACGAGAAGAACCCUAAAUGGAACUCUUCGUCUUAGUGUAACUCCAUGCACGAGCAUUUCAGAUUUGUACUUUCAACUUCCUAUAAAUUAUAACCACUGUAAGAGAAAAAGCAGUGAAGAUAGUCCUCAAACUCCUAUACUCCAAGAUCCACCCUCAAAGAGUGGAAGGAACAGCAAAGUGGAAGGAACAAAGCACUGACGUCAAUUACGAGAUUAACCCCGGGCACAGGCAGCUGAAGGAAAGGCCUAAACAUCAAUAUCCAAACCCGAGCUAUCGGGAUAACUAGGCCGGGGGUGGGGGUGAAACGGAAAGAAGAAGGGCGAAGCCGGAUCGAGCAGCCCCGGCCUGGAGGGUCUCCCGAGCCCCCAAGGCGGACCCAGUUCACCGUCUCCCCCACCCCCACCCCGCACCCCGCGGCCAGGCCCGGCCCGGCCCGGCCCUCCGUCAGUCAGUCGGCCCCUCUCACCUCCAAUCCCUGCUCCGCUAGGCCCAAACCAUCUCCCAGCUGCGGCAGCGGCGGCGCCGGGCCUGCACCUUCACCGGACGCGCAUUCGAGCCCGCCCGGGGGCGGCGACAGACUGCCAAGGACGAGGGGUUCCGGGCGGCGGCGGGGGUUCGGCAGGUCUGGAAAGGCGCAGGCGGGGGCGGCGGCGACGCGCCUCACACGGAACAGGCGGAGGUCCCGCCCCGCUCCAUGACGGUCGGGCCCAGCCCGGGACGGCCGACUGAGGCGGCAGGGGCGGGCCGACGAAGACCUGGCACCGGGAUCCCCGCCCCGUCCGCUGGCGGCGGCGGCGACGGCGGCUCGACUCCCGCAGCCAGGACGGUGACUGACGCAGCGGCCGUGCCACCCAUGUGAUCAGGGCCGGGCGGGGGCGAGGCGUCACGUGGCGACGCCGCGCCCCGCCCCGCCAGAAAAGCGGGGCCCUGCUGGGCCUGCGGUGACCGGAGGCGACACGGGGGCCGUGACGUGCGCGGCUGUGGGGGUCGAACGACCCCGGACGGGCGGAGCACCGGCCCCGGUGGCUUAGACCCGACCUCCUAGGCCCCGCGGCGGCACAGGGCAGGGCCGCCGGGCAGGACCCGGCCUGCAGAUCCGAGACGCGCACACCCUUCUGUGCACGUAGCCGCUACCGGGGACGGGCCGAGCCGGGUCUACCGGUUCUGGGACUCAGGUGAGGGGCGGGGGGGGUCAGGUCGUGCGCCCCUGGCGAGGGUCUGGCGAACCCGAAGCCCUUUCGACCGACUUCCCGGUGCUGACGUUGAUGCCCGGAGUCCAGCAGCCCUCAACAGGUCGGCGGAGAAAGGAAGUCUCCAGGGACUUACUGCAGGAGGAUGCUUAGAACCACGCUUGAACUUCUUCCAUGAAGCCUCUCCAGCCCUUUCUGUUCGUCAUCCAAACAUUUUCUGCCAGUAAUACUGUUCUUCAGGAUAUCAUUUUCAACGCUUUCCUUCAUCUCUUAACAUUCUGCCAGUCAGGGCAAACUAUAAUUUAAUUGAGAGUAAAAUAAUAGUUAUAGACCAGACAGGAUUUUCAAAGGGUCUCAUGGAACGCAGUUUGGUAACUGUUCAGAGACACUACCUCUGGCUCACCAUUGGAAGAACACUUUAUAAUCUCCUGCCUCUUACUUGUUUUCUUUCUGUACAGAAGCCUCAGGAAGCUGGGAGGAGCGUGAAGGGGGUGGGAGGUUACUUUCUACCAACUAAUCUAGAAAAAAGCGUGUUAAAGAUUGCUUUUGGAAGGUGCAAGGUUUUUGAGGAGCUUUAUGAUAAACUCUUAUAAGGAAUGUGCAUAUGAAAAUGUUUUUGUCAGCCCUUAACACUGGUAAUUCAGCAUCAAUAAAAGUAUAAUUUUUCCUUUUUAAAAUUCUUAACUGACCACCUAUUAUUUUUAAGCCUGACUCUUUAUAUCUAUAUAGAUAUUAUCUAUGUAUCUCUAUAGAUGAGGAAAUUAUUAGUGCAAAACUCAAAAAGAACUGUGAUGAAAUAGAGUGAAAAAUAAUUACUCCUCCCAUCCUUUAACUAUGGUAGUCCUGGAGGCAAUCAUUUGGCAUUUUCUAGUGUAUCUCCCAAGAUAUGUUAUAAAUAAACGUGAAAAUAUAGUGAUAACAUACUUUUUACAGGAAAGAUAAUGUACUGUAUAUACUGUUAAGUUCCUUCCUUUUCUCACUUAAAAUAUCCUGGGUAUCCUUCCAUAUGGAUGUGGGGCCACAAGCCAACAAAGAAUUCUUGAGAGGCUUUUGGUGCAAGAAGGUGCUUUUAUUACAACCUGGGGUCAGAACCUGUGGGCAGAAAGAGCUGUACCUUUCCUGUAUGAAGGCAGUGGCUACAUGCUUAGUGCUCAAGGGGGAGGGGAGCUGCAGGGAGUAUUAGAUCAUAAAUGUCUUCCUCGAAUUUCUACUCCUAAAACUAGUUUCAGAAGAUUUCUCUGGUGCUUAACAUUCACCUCAAUAUUAACUGUUGGUGAGAUUUACAGGCACUCAUGAGACGCUUUAAGAAUGCAGGAGUCAGUGCAUGUUUGAUCCUUAUCAAAACCAUGUAAGCUAUAGGUCAGCCUUCUGGGCUAAAGGUGAACAUUUUUCUGCUUCUAGCCAUCAUCACUUAUCACUACAUGAAGAACUGCUUCAUUCUUCCCAGCGGCAGUAUUUACAUUGUAUGCAAAUAUUUAUUUAGUCAGUCCCCAAUAAGUGGGCAUUUAGGUUGUUGCCAAGCCAAAGCUAUUACAAACUAGGCUGUAACUGAUAACUAAUUACCCCAUACGAUGGGCAACUAAUAUGUAAAUCCUUACCCUGGAACCUUUAGAUCAAAAGGUAUUUUUAACUUUGAUAGAUACUGUCAAAUUGUCCUCUGCAGAAGUUGUGCCAAUUUUAUUUGCUUUCUUUCAAGUUUUGCCUUGGAAGAUUUACAAGGCUAUAUUGGAAGAUAGUGGGGAUGGAGAGAAGUAAAAGAAAGAUUGUCAUUUUACACAGUAAUUAAAGAAGUAUGAAGAUGCAAAUUGAUAUUUAAUAAACUUUACAAGAAGUUUCCUUAA